This 253-nucleotide ribosomal RNA is filed under the name uncultured bacterium. RNAcentral describes it as "partial 16S ribosomal RNA". It matches the Rfam family "Bacterial small subunit ribosomal RNA", at positions 524 to 776 of the family's 1533-position model. The record is from RNAcentral.
UACAGAGGUCCCAAGCGUUGUUCGGAUUCAUUGGGCGUAAAGGGUGCGUAGGCGGUGGGGUAAGUUGGAUGUGAAAUUUUGGGGCUUAACCUCAAAAUUGCAUUCAAUACUGCUCCGCUCGAGUUCUGUGGAGGAGAUUGGAAUUUACGGUGUAGCAGUGAAAUGCGUAGAUAUCGUAAGGAACGCCAGUGGCGAAAGCGAAUCUCUGGGCAGCAACUGACGCUGAGGCACGAAGGCCAGGGGAGCAAACGGG